UACGGAGGGUGCAAGCGUUAUCCGGAUUCACUGGGCUUAAAGGGUGCGUAGGUGGGUUUGUAAGUCAGAGGUGAAAUCUCCAAGCUUAACUUGGAAACUGCCGUUGAUACUAUAAAUCUUGAAUGUUGUGGAGGUGAGCGGAAUAUGUCAUGUAGCGGUGAAAUGCUUAGAUAUGACAUAGAACACCAAUUGCGAAGGCAGCUCACUACACAAAGAUUGACACUGAGGCACGAAAGCGUGGGGAGCAAACAGG
Molecule: ribosomal RNA, 253 nt
Filed under: uncultured bacterium
Lineage: Bacteria
Description: partial 16S ribosomal RNA
Rfam family: Bacterial small subunit ribosomal RNA
Source: RNAcentral